UACGUAGGGUGCAAGCGUUAAUCGGAAUUACUGGGCGUAAAGCGUGCGCAGGCGGCUUUGCAAGACAGAUGUGAAAUCCCCGGGCUCACCUGGGAACCUGCAUUUGUGACUGCAUGGCUGGAGUGCGGCAGAGGGGGAUGGAAUUCCGCGUGUAGCAGUGAAAUGCGUAGAUAAUGCGGAGGAACACCGAUGGCGAAGGACAAUCCCCUGGGCCUGCACUGACGCUCAUGCACGAAAGCGUGGGGAGCAA
RNAcentral lists this ribosomal RNA (250 nucleotides) under uncultured bacterium. RNAcentral describes it as "partial 16S ribosomal RNA". It matches the Rfam family "Bacterial small subunit ribosomal RNA", at positions 524 to 771 of the family's 1533-position model. The record is from RNAcentral.